Molecule: ribosomal RNA, 585 nt
Filed under: uncultured bacterium
Lineage: Bacteria
Description: partial 16S ribosomal RNA
Rfam family: Bacterial small subunit ribosomal RNA
Source: RNAcentral
UGGGGAAUUUUGGACAAUGGGCGAAAGCCUGAUCCAGCAAUGCCGCGUGUGUGAAGAAGGCCUUCGGGUUGUAAAGCACUUUUGUCCGGAAAGAAAUCCUUGGCUCUAAUACAGUCGGGGGAUGACGGUACCGGAAGAAUAAGCACCGGCUAACUACGUGCCAGCAGCCGCGGUAAUACGUAGGGUGCAAGCGUUAAUCGGAAUUACUGGGCGUAAAGCGUGCGCAGGCGGUUUGCUAAGACCGAUGUGAAAUCCCCGGGCUCAACCUGGGAACUGCAUUGGUGACUGGCAGGCUAGAGUAUGGCAGAGGGGGGUAGAAUUCCACGUGUAGCAGUGAAAUGCGUAGAGAUGUGGAGGAAUACCGAUGGCGAAGGCAGCCCCCUGGGCCAAUACUGACGCUCAUGCACGAAAAGCGUGGGGAGCAAACAGGAUUAGAUACCCUGGUAGUCACGCCCUAAAACGAUGUCAACUAGUUGUUGGGGAUUCAUUUCCUUAGUAACGUAGCUAACGCGUGAAGUUGACCGCCUGGGGAGUACGUCGCAAGAUUAAAACUCAAAUGAAUUGACGGGGUCAUAGCUGUUUCCU